CAUUAAUUCAUUGAAGGCAUCAUAUAGUUCAUCGAAAGUAAAAUCUAAAUGUGUUGCGGAUGUUACCUCAUUGUCGUUAGCCAUAAAACACAGAUUGGCCUUUUCUUCUUGUUCUUCAUCUGAUGAUGAUGAUGUGUCGGAGUCCGAUAGGGUGGAGACGAGGACUUUCUUCUUCUUGUACUUGCUCCCCUUCUUCAGCAAAGGACACUCAGCUCUGAAGUGCCC
This 225-nucleotide long non-coding RNA is filed under the name Phoenix dactylifera (date palm). Its description in RNAcentral is "long non-coding RNA (PDAC_LNC014297)". Lineage: Eukaryota; Viridiplantae; Streptophyta; Magnoliopsida; Arecales; Arecaceae. The record is from RNAcentral.